RNAcentral lists this ribosomal RNA (613 nucleotides) under Dujonia zeylanoides. RNAcentral describes it as "eukaryotic LSU rRNA". It matches the Rfam family "Eukaryotic large subunit ribosomal RNA", at positions 38 to 667 of the family's 3401-position model. The record is from RNAcentral. Lineage: Eukaryota; Fungi; Ascomycota; Pichiomycetes; Serinales; Debaryomycetaceae.
GCAUAUCAAUAAGCGGAGGAAAAGAAACCAACAGGGAUUGCCUCAGUAACGGCGAGUGAAGCGGCAAAAGCUCAAAUUUGAAAUCUAGCACUUUCAGUGUUCGAGUUGUAAUUUGAAGAAGGUAACUUUGGUUUUGGCUCUUGUCUAUGUUCCUUGGAACAGGACGUCACAGAGGGUGAGAAUCCCGUGCGAUGAGAUGCCCAAUUCCAUGUAAAGUGCUUUCGAAGAGUCGAGUUGUUUGGGAAUGCAGCUCUAAGUGGGUGGUAAAUUCCAUCUAAAGCUAAAUAUUGGCGAGAGACCGAUAGCGAACAAGUACAGUGAUGGAAAGAUGAAAAGAACUUUGAAAAGAGAGUGAAAAAGUACGUGAAAUUGUUGAAAGGGAAGGGCUUGAGAUCAGACUUGGUAUUUUGCGUUCCCUUCCUUUUUGGUUGGGUUCCUCGCAGUUUACUGGGCCAGCAUCGGUUUGGAUGGUAGGAUAAUGACAUUGGAAUGUAGCUUUACUUCGGUGAAGUGUUAUAGACUUUGUUGAUACUGCCUAUCUAGACCGAGGACUGCGUCUUUGACUAGGAUGCUGGCGUAAUGAUCUUAAGCCGCCCGUCUUGAAACACGGACC